GAGUUUGAUCCUGGCUCAGGAUGAGGCUAUAUAGUCGUGGUAUGCUGGUCCCGCCACGGAUAAGGAGCUUGCUCCUUUGACGUUAGCGGCGGACGGGUGAGUAACACGUGGAUAACCUACCUAUAAAACUGGGAUAACUUCGGGAAACCGGCAGCUAAUACCGGAUAACAUAUUGAACCGCAUGGUUCAUUAGUGAAAGGCGGCUUUGCUGUCACUUAUAUAUGGAUCCGCGCCCGUAUUAGCUAGUUGGUAAGGUAACGGCUUACCAAGGCAACGAUACGUAGCCGACCUGAGAGGGUGAUCGGCCACACUGGAACUGAGACACGGUCCACACUCCUACGGGAGGCAGCAGUAGGGAAUCUUCCGCAAUGGGCGAAAGCCUGACGGAGCAACGCCGCGUGAGUGAUGAAGGUCUUCGGAUCGUAAAACUCUGUUAUCAGGGAAGAACAAAUGUGUAAGUAACUGUGCACAUCUUGACGGUACCUGAUCAUAAAGCCACGGCUAACUACGUGCCAGCAGCCACGGUAAUACGUACGUGGCAAGCGUUAUCCGGAAUUAUUGGGCGUAAAGCGCGCGUAGGCGGUUUUUUAAGUCUGAUGUGAAAGCCCACGGCUCAACCGUGCAGGGUCAUUGGAAACUGGAAAACUUGAGUGCACAAUAGGAAAGUGGAAUUCCAUGUGUAGCGGUGAAAUGCGCAUACAUAUGGAGGAACACCAGUGGCGAAGGCGACUUUCUGGUCUGUAACUGACGCUUAUGUGCGAAAGCGUGAGGAUCAAACAGGAUUAGAUACCCUGGUACUCCACGCCGUAUACGAUGAGUGCUAAGUGUUAGGGGGUUUCCGCCCCUUAGUGCUGCAGCUAACGCAUUAAGCACUCCGCCUGGGGAGUACGACCGCAAGGUUGAAACUCAAAGGAAUUGACGGGGACCCGCACAAGCGGUGGAGCAUGUGGUUUAAUUCGAAGCAACGCGAAGAACCUUACCAAAUCUUGACAUCCUUUGACCGCUCUAGAGAUAGAGUCUUCCCCUUCGGGGGACAAAGUGACAGGUGGUGCAUGGUUGUCGUCAGCUCGUGUCGUGAGAUGUUGGGUUAAGUCCCGCAACGAGCGCAACCCUUAAGCUUAGUUGCCAUCAUUAAGUUGGGCACUCUAAGUUGACUGCCGGUGACAAACCGGAGGAAGGUGGGGAUGACGUCAAAUCAUCAUGCCCCUUAUGAUUUGGGCUACACACGUGCUACAAUGGACAAUACAAAGGGCAGCUAAACCGCGAGGUCAAGCAAAUCCCAUAAAGUUGUUCUCAGUUCGGAUUGUAGUCUGCAACUCGACUACAUGAAGCUGGAAUCGCUAGUAAUCGUAGAUCAGCAUGCUACGGUGAAUACGUUCCCGGGUCUUGUACACACCGCCCGUCUAAUCGUAGAUCAGCAUGCUACGGUGAAUACGUUCCCGGGUCUUGUACACACCGCCCGUCACACCACGAGAGUUUGUAACACCCGAAGCCGGUGGAGUAACCAUUUAUGGAGCUAGCCGUCGAAGGUGGGACAAAUGAUUGGGGUGAAGUCGUAACAAGGUAGCCG
RNAcentral lists this ribosomal RNA (1570 nucleotides) under Staphylococcus warneri. RNAcentral's name for it is "bacterial SSU rRNA". It matches the Rfam family "Bacterial small subunit ribosomal RNA". The record is from RNAcentral. Lineage: Bacteria; Bacillati; Bacillota; Bacilli; Caryophanales; Staphylococcaceae.